GCCUGAUCAUCAAUAUAAUGAAUCUAAAUGUAAUUCACUGAGUGUUGUUCAAUGAUACUCUUCAACAAGAUAAACAUAGCAGGAUGAGUCAAGUAAAUCGUGAUUCAAUUGUCACAUAAUUUUUGCAGAUAGUCUGCAAAUUUGGAACAUCCAAGUUCACUUAUACAAAGGUAAAAAGCGCAAAUGUCCAAUCAAUUUAAUACAGGUGAAUCAAA
This 215-nucleotide long non-coding RNA is filed under the name Mytilus galloprovincialis (Mediterranean mussel). Lineage: Eukaryota; Metazoa; Mollusca; Bivalvia; Mytilida; Mytilidae. The record is from RNAcentral.